This 1411-nucleotide long non-coding RNA is filed under the name Macaca mulatta (Rhesus monkey). RNAcentral's name for it is "lncRNA (ENSMMUG00000054483.1)". The record is from RNAcentral. Lineage: Eukaryota; Metazoa; Chordata; Mammalia; Primates; Cercopithecidae.
CUCGAGGCGGGCACCGCGAGUCCACAGCAAGUCUCCAGCCCCGCGCCCGCGCAGGUGGGCGAGGCGGGGACGUGAUGGGCGGGGCCUAGAAAGGCGGGGCCUUUGGGGGCGGCCCCGGGGCGGGCCCCGCCGGUGCGAGGGCUGCAGGCGCAGCUCCGGAGCGUCUAAAGCGCGGCGCGGGGCAGGAUCUUGCUGGACCAGGAGCGGCAGCGCAUCCUCCUGCGACUCCGGGGCCAGGCGCCCACUCCAGAUUUCUUUAAAGCCUCAUGGAACACAUCAUUAUUGCUGGAUGCCCGGACACUUAACGCACCUGACAGCAGGCGAAGUGCUCAGAAUGGGACAGGAUGUCACCUGGAAUCAGCACUAAGUGAUUCAGACUGUCCUUACUUUUAAAUGGUAAAAAGUCUAAAUGCUUUUCUUAACAUUAUUUUAUAUUAAUGAUGGUCAUUUAUUCAUUUUUAUUUGUAUUAUUACUAUUCACAGCUCAUUUCCUAAUGAAAUAGUUAAGUUUCUGGCGUUAAAAACUAGUGUCAAAUCUCUAGAAAUCUUGUUAUGAACAGAUUUAUAAUGGUCAAAUUGGUAGUAUUUGGCUUUCUUUUUUUAGAACAGCAGCGCUUAUCAGCUGUAGAACCAGUUGCCAAGUUAUAAAAUUGAUUUUUGGAAACAAAGCUAUUGAAUGUUUGUAAGCAUUUUACAUAGUAAAAGUGGGUUGUGUUCCUAAAAUUUGAAUAUAGAUGAAGGUCUGUCAUAAAUUACAAUUUGUAUACACUAUUGUUUUCUGCAAGACUUAGUUAUUACAGUCCGUUUUAACUACUGCAGAAAACGCAAGCUGUAUCUCUCUUUUGGAUUAUGAAUAUUUUGUUCUUGUAGUGUCUGGCAUGGAGCUAAACUCAUUGUGAGACCAACCCAACACAGUCCAAAAUUGGGCCUGGUUUCAUCUGAGCCUUUUCAAUCCAGUUUGAAAAUUCCGUUGACUUGCCCUUCCUCCGAAGAUUCUUAGACGUCACAACCAUUUCCGGCCAGGCACAGUGGCUCACGCCUGUAAUCCCAGCACUUUGGGAGGCCAAGGUGGGCGGAUCACGAGGUCAGGAGAUCGGGACCAUCCUGGCUAACACGGUGAAAACCCGUCUCUACUAAAAAUACAAAAAAAAAAAAAAAAGUUAGCCGGGCGUUGUGGUGGGUGCCUGUAGUCCCAGCUACUUGGUAGGCUGAGGCAGGAGAAUGGCGUAAGCCCGGGAGGCGGAGCUUGCAGUGAGCCGAGAUCGCCACUGCACUGCAGCCUGGGCAACAGGGCAAGACUCCGUCUCAAAAAAAAAAAAAAAGAAAAAAAGUCACAACCAUUUCCAAACUUCUUCCUAAGUGUGCCCCAAAUCCUAAAUCAACAAAAAGCAGAAUGGAUCUGAUCUCUUUU